AUAUCGAACGGAAAAGUUAUGAUUUGAUGUCUUUUUUUUUUUUUGUUGCUAUCAACCGUACCGAGACCUGCCCUUUUGACGGGGGAAGAAAGCUCAGCUGCCACGCCUGGUCCUGGCUUUUUAAUGCGGGCGAGAGCGAAAGGAGAGAGUGCCAUUUUCACCUUGCCUUGUCCUCUCUACCCUCCGAUCUCCCUACUCCUGCCUCCUGAAACAAGCGCCAUCGCUCGUGAAAGGAAAAACCCUAUUUUUUCCACCUCUCUUCCCUCCCUUCCCUCCCUUCCUUCACCCCGUUUCCCCGUCGCUUUCGCUCCAGAAAGAACCCCGAAACAAGAAUGCAAACCAUGGUGAAUCUCAACAGCUCCUUGGGCCUCCCUCUCUGCGUUUCCGGGAUCACCCGGGCCGCCCUCUCUCUCUCCCAAGAGAUGGUGGAUCACGAUCGCCGGAGGAGGGCGAUGAAGAGGAUGCGGUCGCGGCCCAGCCGGGGAUCGGGCGAGCCGGCCGGAGAUCUCGCCGAUCUACUGAGCGAGCUGGCUUUCGACAGCAGCAGCAGCAGCUUCGGCCCCUGUACAGCAAAAGCCGCUUAGGUCUCGAGAUUUCGCUACCCCCCACCAUUCCAUUUCGUGGGUUCGCCACAGCCAGUGCGAUCCCUGAUCUCUUCUUCAUCUCCUUCCUCCUUCCUCCUCUCCUCGUCUUCUUCUUCUUCUUUUACUUCCUUCGUUUCCAAUUUUUAGGGGCCCUGUAAAUCGCGCCAUACAUGAGAUUAAGGGGUGUUGCAAAGUGCAUUCUGGGUCGAAAUCUGUGUUGGGUUUUUUCUUCUUCGAUCCUGAGGAAUGUUUGUUGGUGGUCUUUCGUUGGUUUGUUCAUUCGUUUUGGUUGGGAGCUUUUGUCGUGUCUGAUAAUGUUGUCGAUAUUUAAGGAGAUAAGUGUACAAAACUUGAUUCGCUAAAAGGGAGUGCAGCAAGCAACCAUCAUGUAUGGCUCGAAACCCGAUGUAACAUUUUUUUUUAAUAUUAUUCCACGCAUUCCCAAUUAUUCAA
This is a long non-coding RNA of Syzygium oleosum, 1037 nucleotides long. RefSeq lists it as uncharacterized. The transcript is spliced from 2 exons. The record is from RefSeq and is a predicted model, not a curated record. Lineage: Eukaryota; Viridiplantae; Streptophyta; Magnoliopsida; Myrtales; Myrtaceae.